AUCCAUCUGAAGAGUCCUAAAUAGGACGAAACACGUGCCUUGGAU
RNAcentral lists this non-coding RNA (45 nucleotides) under Schistosoma mansoni. Lineage: Eukaryota; Metazoa; Platyhelminthes; Trematoda; Strigeidida; Schistosomatidae. The record is from RNAcentral.